UACGGGGGGAGCAAGCGUUGUUCGGAAUUACUGGGCGUAAAGGGCGCGUAGGCGGCCGCCUAAGUCAGACGUGAAAUCCCUCGGCUCAACCGGGGAACUGCGUCUGAUACUGGGUGGCUUGAAUCCGGGAGAGGGAUGUGGAAUUCCAGGUGUAGCGGUGAAAUGCGUAGAUAUCUGGAGGAACACCGGUGGCGAAGGUGGCAGCCUGGACCGGUAUUGACGCUGAGGCGCGAAAGCCAGGGGAGCAAACGGG
Molecule: ribosomal RNA, 253 nt
Filed under: uncultured bacterium
Lineage: Bacteria
Description: partial 16S ribosomal RNA
Rfam family: Bacterial small subunit ribosomal RNA
Source: RNAcentral